AGAAAUCGAGCACAGCACCGGUGGGC
RNAcentral lists this non-coding RNA (26 nucleotides) under Homo sapiens (human). Lineage: Eukaryota; Metazoa; Chordata; Mammalia; Primates; Hominidae. The record is from RNAcentral.